UGCAGGGCUAAGACUACGGAGGU
RNAcentral lists this non-coding RNA (23 nucleotides) under Mus musculus (house mouse). The record is from RNAcentral. Lineage: Eukaryota; Metazoa; Chordata; Mammalia; Rodentia; Muridae.